UAAAGACACUAUGGGGUGACGCAGAAACACAAGGUCAGCCGGGUGUUGGAUGUCCCGGUCUAAGCCGGUAGGGGGUUUUCCCAGGUAAAUCCAGGAGAACAUUACCCCGAGAGGCGAUGGGGAGCCCGCAAGGGCACAAACUGGCCCCAAAUCCGCUGCCAAGAAAAACCUCUAUGUGAGUCCUUCGGGUGACCGUACCGUAAACGGACACACGUGGGUGGGGUGAGUAUCCUAAGGUGCUCGAGUGAGUCUUCCAGAAGGAACUCGGCAAAAUGAUCCCGUAACUUCGGAAGAAGGGAUGCCUCUAGUACGUGAGCACCCUCGCGGUGUUAGCGGAAUGAGGCCGCAGAGAAACGGCCCAAGCGACUGUUUACUAAAAACACAGGACUCUGCCAAGCCGAUGAGGCAAUGUAUAGGGUCUGACACCUGCCCGGUGCCGGAAGGUUAAAGGGCGCGGUCAGCCGCAAGGCGAAGCUGCAAACUGAAGCCCCGGUAGACGGCGGCCGUAACUAUAACGGUCCUAAGGUAGCGAAAUUCCUUGUCGGGUAAGUUCCGACCUGCACGAAUGGUGUAACGAUUUGGGCGCUGUCUCCUGGAAGAGCUCGGCGAAAUUGAAGCAGCGGUGAAGAUACCGUUUACCCGCGACUGGACAGAAAGACCCCGUGCACCUUUACUGUAGCCUGGUAUUGGAUUCUGGCCAUCCAUGUGUAGGAUAGGUGGGAGGCUUUGAAACAGGGGCGCUAGCUUCUGUGGAGCCAACCUUGAAAUACCACCCUUGGGUGUUGGAGUUCUAACCAAGGCCGUGAAUCCGGCCUUGAGACAGUGCCAGGUGGGCAGUUUGACUGGGGCGGUCGCCUCCCAAAAGGUAACGGAGGCGCUCAAAGGUUCCCUCAGCGCGGUUGGUAAUCGCGCGUAGAGUGUAAAGGCAGAAGGGAGCUUAACUGCGAGACUUACAAGUCGAGCAGGUGCGAAAGCAGGACUUAGCGAUCCGGUGGUCCCGUGUGGAAGGGCCAUCGCUUAUCGGAUAAAAGGUACGCCGGGAUAACAGGCUGAUCCUCCCCGAGAGUUCACAUCGACGGGAGGGUUUGGCACCUCGAUGUCGGCUCAUCGCAUCCUGGGGCUGGAGAAGGUCCCAAGGGUUUGGCUGUUCGCCAAUUAAAGCGGUACGUGAGCUGGGUUUAGAACGUCGUGAGACAGUUCGGUCCCUAUCCAUCGUGGGCGAAGGGGAUUUGAGGGGUGCUGUCCCUAGUACGAGAGGACUGGGACGGACGGACCUCUAGUGCGCGAGUUGUCGCGCCAGCGGCAUUGCUCGGUAGCUAUGUCCGGAUCGGAUAAACGCUGAAAGCAUAUAAGCGUGAAACCGGCCCCGAGAUGAGAUCUCCCGCGGGGUAACCCGCCUAAAGACCCCUUGAAGACUACGAGGUUGAUAGGCCGGAGGUGUACAUGUGGCAACACAUUUAGCCGACCGGUACUAAUAGGUCGUGAGGCUUGAUCGU
This 1496-nucleotide ribosomal RNA is filed under the name metagenome. RNAcentral's name for it is "bacterial LSU rRNA". It matches the Rfam family "Bacterial large subunit ribosomal RNA", at positions 1454 to 2925 of the family's 2925-position model. The record is from RNAcentral.